GACGAACGCUGGCGGCGUGCUUAACACAUGCAAGUCGAACGGAAAGGCCCUGCUUUUGUGGGGUGCUCGAGUGGCGAACGGGUGAGUAACACGUGAGUAACCUGCCCUUGACUUUGGGAUAACUUCAGGAAACUGGGGCUAAUACCGGAUAGGAGCUCCUGCUGCAUGGUGGGGGUUGGAAAGUUUCGGCGGUUGGGGAUGGACUCGCGGCUUAUCAGCUUGUUGGUGGGGUAGUGGCUUACCAAGGCUUUGAAGGGUAGCCGGCCUGAGAGGGUGACCGGCCACAUUGGGACUGGGAUACGGCCCAGACUCCUACGGGAGGCAGCAGUGGGGAAUAGUGCACAAUGGGCGGAAGCCUGAUGCAGCAACGCCGCGUGCGGGAUGACGGCCUUCGGGUUGUAAACCGCUUUCGCCUGUGACGAAGCGUGAGUGACGGUAAUGGGUAAAGAAGCACCGGCUAACUACGUG
RNAcentral lists this ribosomal RNA (468 nucleotides) under uncultured bacterium. Its description in RNAcentral is "partial 16S ribosomal RNA". It matches the Rfam family "Bacterial small subunit ribosomal RNA", at positions 28 to 507 of the family's 1533-position model. The record is from RNAcentral.